Molecule: long non-coding RNA, 451 nt
Organism: Meleagris gallopavo (turkey)
Lineage: Eukaryota; Metazoa; Chordata; Aves; Galliformes; Phasianidae
Source: RefSeq, a predicted model, not a curated record
GCAGCUGCUUCUUCUUCCUCAGAAGUGCAUCUCUAAGAGCCAGCUGGAAUAUGAAACAAGAGAGGAAUAUUCAGAAAGGGACCAGAAGAAACGUCAGUCCAGCUGAAAGGCUAACCCUCAUUUCUGGGACCACCCCUAUAAAACACUUUCACUACUGUUUUUCAAGACCAGCUUGAACCACAACAUUUAAGAAUCUGAAGAUACAAAGCUGCAACUACUGCUAGAAAAAUAACAUGCCCAUUGGUCUGAAGAAGAAAACUAGUCCUACAGCUUCAAUCAGUGCCUCUUGCUUUUUCUCACAUAAAUAAACCCCCAGGCCAGGAUCCAUUUGAGGCUGUGUGUCUGUUUGUCACCUGUCACCAGCCAUGAAUGACCAAGUUCUACAUCUGCUGGCAUCAGAAGUUACCUCACUAGACUCCGGGUGAAAGAAAGCACUCAUUAGCAUUUUAUA